This 78-nucleotide transfer RNA is filed under the name Alphaproteobacteria bacterium. RNAcentral describes it as "tRNA-Pro". It matches the Rfam family "tRNA". Rfam says of the family: Transfer RNA (tRNA) molecules are approximately 80 nucleotides in length. Their secondary structure includes four short double-helical elements and three loops (D, anti-codon, and T loops). Lineage: Bacteria; Pseudomonadati; Pseudomonadota; Alphaproteobacteria. The record is from RNAcentral.
CUUGGUGUAUUGUCAAUCAGGUAGACGGUCGGCUUUGGAAGCUGAAGGCUGUAGGUUCGAAUCCUACCACCGAGACCA